Molecule: long non-coding RNA, 136 nt
Organism: Miniopterus natalensis
Lineage: Eukaryota; Metazoa; Chordata; Mammalia; Chiroptera; Miniopteridae
Source: RefSeq, a predicted model, not a curated record
GGAGAUCCUAUGUAGUAGAAAUAAUAAGAUAUUUAUUGAACUCUCAACUAUUACAAAUAGCAUGUUAGGAGCUACACUGGAAGGGUUCUGGACUCUGUCUUAUGACUAUUAGAGAAAGUAGAAGUGACAUCAUAUC